GUUCCUAGGUGCUAAGAAUUCUAAUAAUUUGAGGAUUAGAAGUAAUUCCCACUUACAUGGUAAAAAUUUCCAGUAAAAUCAUUAAUGCAAGUGAAAGGGACACUCACUGAAAAAAUAUAUGUGGGGCUGCAAGGGACUGCCAAAAACUAUUCAGUUCUUCAGUCCAAGAAAAGCUCUUCCAUGGACUCUCUGCAGAGGCCAGGACACCAUCCUGGGAAUGGUGGGAACGUAGGGCCAGUGGAACUCCACAGUUCCAGAGCUUCCUUGGUGCUCCCUGAAAUUUUCUAGUCUCCAGAUUGCUGUCUGUUGUGAUAUGUUCCUCCUGAUUGCUCCCCCAUUGUGCUGAGCAUCACCUCUCCUCCCACCAGCACCCGCAGUGGGAAGGAGAGUGAUGAGCCGCAGCACUGUGGGGCACAGGAGGAUGGAGAUCUCAGUCUCUGGAG
Long non-coding RNA from Neopsephotus bourkii (Bourke's parrot), 443 nucleotides. RefSeq lists it as uncharacterized. The record is from RefSeq and is a predicted model, not a curated record. Lineage: Eukaryota; Metazoa; Chordata; Aves; Psittaciformes; Psittacidae. The transcript is spliced from 3 exons.